Molecule: non-coding RNA, 91 nt
Organism: Mycena rosella
Lineage: Eukaryota; Fungi; Basidiomycota; Agaricomycetes; Agaricales; Mycenaceae
Source: the annotation of a GenBank genome assembly
GGUUUGGUGGCACAACGAUUAGCGCACUGGGUGUCUCUGGCGACAACAUUCAGUUACCCAGAGGUAUCCCGUUCGAUUCGGGACCAAGCCA